This 726-nucleotide ribosomal RNA is filed under the name Candidatus Eiseniibacteriota bacterium. RNAcentral describes it as "bacterial SSU rRNA". It matches the Rfam family "Bacterial small subunit ribosomal RNA", at positions 1 to 701 of the family's 1533-position model. The record is from RNAcentral. Lineage: Bacteria; Candidatus Eiseniibacteriota.
AACACGGAGAGUUUGAUCCUGGCUCAGAACGAACGUUGGCGGCGUGGAUUAGGCAUGCAAGUCGUACGAGAAAGUCACCUUCGGGUGGCGAGUAAAGUGGCGAACGGGUGAGUAACGCGUGGGAAAUCUGCCCUGCAGUUGGGGAUAACACUCCUAACGGGGUGCUAAUACCGAAUGAGACCACGAGGUCGCAUGGCCUUGAGGUUAAAGGUGGCCUCUCCUUGGAAGCUACCGCUGCUGGAGGAUCCCGCGUCCCAUUAGCUUGUUGGCGGGGUAAUGGCCCACCAAGGCACCGAUGGGUAGCUGGUCUGAGAGGAUGGUCAGCCACACUGGGACUGAGAUACGGCCCAGACUCCUACGGGAGGCAGCAGUCGAGAGGCUUCGGCAAUGGGGGAAACCCUGACCGAGCGACGCCGCGUGGGCGAUGAAGGCCGUAAGGUUGUAAAGCCCUGUCAGGAGGGAAGAAAUGCUCAUGGGCAAACAGUCCAUGGGUUUGACAGUACCUCCAGAGGAAGCUCCGGCUAACUCCGUGCCAGCAGCCGCGGUAACACGGAGGGAGCAAACGUUGUUCGGAAUUACUGGGCGUAAAGGGCGUGUAGGCGGUUCCGUAAGUCGGGGGUGAAAUCCAGUGGCUCAACCAUUGGCCUGCCUUCGAAACUGCGGAACUUGAGGCCGUGAGAGGAAAGCGGAAUUCCUGGUGUAUCGGUGAAAUGAGUUGAUAUCAGG